GAUUUCCACGUCGGCAGAGAAGGGCGACUGCAGGGACUUGAUCUAAUGUGCAAGUGCUGUCCAGAUGUGGACCGCGCAGCCACAACCAAAUUUUCUAUAGGUGAAAUGAGGUCAUAUAAAUAAUUUGAUGCUUGAAGUACAAGUAACGAGAAGUUCAUAUCAAGCAGCACAGGCACAGAAGACAGGAUCAUCGGGAGAUGCUGCUUACCAGAGUGAAGGGUUUCGCAGCCUUUGACACAGUUGCACAAUUGUGGAGCAGCACCCCCGCCGACCCCCCGGACCGGUCCAGUCCCCGUGACCCUCACCGCACCUAAGGGCCAAGUCACAGGGGUACAAAGUUCACAAAGUUCAGAGUUCAUCCUGUGAAUUGGCCACUAUACGCCUGUCGCCCUUUCUUUGUUCAUCUCACUAAACAUGUGAAACGAGACAAAUUAAUAAAGGUGAAAAAGCGUGCUGUCA
Molecule: long non-coding RNA, 459 nt
Filed under: Scleropages formosus (Asian bonytongue)
Lineage: Eukaryota; Metazoa; Chordata; Actinopteri; Osteoglossiformes; Osteoglossidae
Description: lncRNA (ENSSFOG00015031694.1)
Source: RNAcentral